RNAcentral lists this ribosomal RNA (248 nucleotides) under uncultured bacterium. RNAcentral describes it as "partial 16S ribosomal RNA". It matches the Rfam family "Bacterial small subunit ribosomal RNA", at positions 333 to 598 of the family's 1533-position model. The record is from RNAcentral.
UGUAGCCUACGGGAGGCAGCAGUGGGGAAUAUUGCACAAUGGGGGAAACCCUGAUGCAGCAACGCCGCGUGAGAGAAGAAGUAUUUCGGUAUGUAAAGCUCUAUCAGCAGGGAAGAGAAUGACGGUACCUGACUAAGAAGCCCCGGCUAACUACGUGCCAGCAGCCGCGGUAAUACGGAGGGGGCGAGCGUUAUCCGGAUUUACUGGGUGUAAAGGGAGCGUAGACGGUACUGCAAGUCUGAAGUGAA